Non-coding RNA from Favolaschia claudopus, 93 nucleotides. The record is from the annotation of a GenBank genome assembly. NCBI's taxonomy places the organism in Eukaryota, Fungi, Basidiomycota, Agaricomycetes, Agaricales, Mycenaceae.
GACACUUUGGCCGAGUGGUUAAGGCGAUGCCCUGCUAUUAAGCUGAGUAGGCAUUGGGGUUUCCCCGCGUGUGUUCGAAUCGCACAGGUGUCG